GGUUGAUGAUGCUAUACGACCCAUCCCGUAGGAGUGAUAACUGCUCAGACCUUAUGUGCUAAGGCUGGACGUGCCUAAGAGGAAGCGCUGUGCAAUGUACGCACAGCUAUGACAGAAAAUAAGAGGCUUUGAGAAAAACUAAGAAAAAAGAAGAGGAAGCUGAGAUACUUUCAUAGAGAGGGGAGCAAGAAAAAAAAUGAGAAAAAGAGAGAGA
This 214-nucleotide long non-coding RNA is filed under the name Elaeis guineensis (African oil palm). RNAcentral describes it as "long non-coding RNA (EGUI_LNC029698)". The record is from RNAcentral. Lineage: Eukaryota; Viridiplantae; Streptophyta; Magnoliopsida; Arecales; Arecaceae.